CCUACGGGUGGCAGCAGUGGGGAAUAUUGCACAAUGGGGGAAACCCUGAUGCAGCGACGCCGCGUGAGCGAAGAAGUAUUUCGGUAUGUAAAGCUCUAUCAGCAGGGAAGAAAAUGACGGUACCUGAGUAAGAAGCCCCGGCUAAAUACGGGCCAGCAGCCGCGGUAAUACGUAUGGAGCAAGCGUUAUCCGGAUUUACUGGGCGUAAAGGGGGCGUAGGCGGGCUGCCAAGUCUGAUGUGAAAUACCGGGGCUCAACCCCGGGGCUGCAUUGGAAACUGGCAGGCUGGAGUGCAGGAGAGGCAGGCGGAAUUCCUAGUGUAGCGGUGAAAUGCGUAGAUAUUAGGAGGAACACCAGUGGCGAAGGCGGCCUGCUGGACGGUGACUGACGCUGAGGCUCGAAAGCGUGGGGAGCAAACAGGAUUAGAUACCCGUGUAGUC
Molecule: ribosomal RNA, 440 nt
Filed under: uncultured bacterium
Lineage: Bacteria
Description: partial 16S ribosomal RNA
Rfam family: Bacterial small subunit ribosomal RNA
Source: RNAcentral